CUACGAGUUGCAGCAGUGAGGAAUAUUGCACAAUGGGGGGAACCCUGAUGCAGCAACGCCGCGUGGAGGAUGACGCAUUACGGUGUGUAAACUCCUUUUAUAUGUCAAGAAAAUGACGGUAGCAUAUGAAUAAGCACCGGCUAACUCCGUGCCAGCAGCCGCGGUAAUACGGAGGGUGCAAGCGUUACUCGGAAUCACUGGGCGUAAAGGACGCGUAGGCGGGUUGGAAAGUCAGGUGUGAAAUCCUACAGCUUAACUGUAGAACUGCACUUGAAACUUCUAAUCUAGAGUAUGGGAGGGGGAGAUGGAAUUAGUGGUGUAGGGGUAAAAUCCGUAGAUAUCACUAGGAAUACCUAAAGCGAAGGCGAUCUCCUGGAACAUUACUGACGCUAAGGCGUGAAAGCGUGGGGAGCAAACAGGAUUAGAUACCCGUGUAGUU
RNAcentral lists this ribosomal RNA (439 nucleotides) under uncultured bacterium. RNAcentral describes it as "partial 16S ribosomal RNA". It matches the Rfam family "Bacterial small subunit ribosomal RNA", at positions 339 to 795 of the family's 1533-position model. The record is from RNAcentral.